RNAcentral lists this long non-coding RNA (942 nucleotides) under Androctonus crassicauda. Lineage: Eukaryota; Metazoa; Arthropoda; Arachnida; Scorpiones; Buthidae. The record is from RNAcentral.
AAUUAAACCGUCGCCCAAAAUUUUACUUUUCUAAUUAAAAAAAAAAAAAAAAAACAUGAAUGUCGAAGGAUAAAAACAAAAGGUAAUACCUACAUUUUUCGGGUUAUUUUUAAGUUUUUAUCGCGCUCCUUUCGCUUCGGCGUCGCGUUCGACGCGCGAGAACUCGAGACGCGAAUCUUUACGCAUUGUUGGUCUCUAUUCAAUUUCGAUUUAUGGUUUCUUGGCAUUGCGAACGGUUUAAAAAAUCGAAUUUCUAACAGGUGCGAAACGUAUAAAACGUUAUUAAUUCCUUUAAGCGUCGUUUAUCUGUUCGUGGGCGUCGAGACACGUGAUGCGUUGGCGCGUCGUUUUUACCGAUUUUGGUAUAUAGAAGGCCAACUGAGACGAAAGUCGCCAGUUGCUCCGAUAAAAUAAAACUAAAACAACUUUUAAACGCGCAGUAAAAAUUAAACCUAUGUGAACUGGACAGAUAUGCAUGAGGUUCUUAAGGCCUCCUUGUAAAUUAUAGAGGAAAAACUGCAUAUGCAGUAAGGGUGGGUCUGGGAGUGUUUUCUUAUGUAAUAUGCAUGUUUUGCACCCUAGGCCAACAAAGUAAUCAAUUGUAAGAGCAAGAACGUCUUUGCAGAUAUUCGUAAUGAAGGAUUUGUGCACCGGUAUUAUAAACUUGCAAUUUCUUUUUUUAUUAUCUGAAGUUACAACUUACAUCUUUAUCUGUAUUGUACAUAACUGCAUGUUAUAUAUAACCUUAAUAAAUGUUUCUAACUUACGUAAAAUCUGUAUUUUAUUUUUACGCACAAAUUUUUCUGUAACAGUGAUUGUAAAUGUUUGUGACACUGUGUUUAUCUUAGCACUUUGUAUUGUAUAUGUUGUAUUCUUGUUGUAAACUUGUCUUAAUUGUAUAUGUGGCACUCUGUAUUCACACUUUUUCACUCUUUAAAUUCU